Molecule: ribosomal RNA, 253 nt
Filed under: uncultured bacterium
Lineage: Bacteria
Description: partial 16S ribosomal RNA
Rfam family: Bacterial small subunit ribosomal RNA
Source: RNAcentral
UACAGAGGUCUCGAGCGUUAGGCGGAAUCACUGGGCUUAAAGCGUGUGUAGGCGGAUCGGUAAGUACCUUGUGAAAUCCCACAGCUUAACUGUGGAACUGCUUGGUAUACUGCCAGUCUUGAGCCAGCUAGGGGCUACCGGAACAAGUGGUGGAGCGGUGAAAUGCGUAGAUAUCAUUUGGAACGCCAAUGGUGAAAACAGGUAGCUGGGGCUGUGCUGACGCUGAGACACGAAAGCCAGGGGAGCGAACGGG